ACAUGCAAGUCGAGCGAAUCUAAGGGAGCUUGCUCCCAAAGAUUAGCGGCGGACGGGUGAGUAACACGUGGGCAACCUACCUGUAAGACUGGGAUAACUUCGGGAAACCGGAGCUAAUACCGGAUAACAUAUGAGACCACAUGGUCUUAUAUUAAAAGAUGGCUUCUCGCUAUCACUUACGGAUGGGCCCGCGGCGCAUUAGCUAGUUGGUGAGGUAACGGCUCACCAAGGCAACGAUGCGUAGCCGACCUGAGAGGGUGAUCGGCCACACUGGGACUGAGACACGGCCCAGACUCCUACGGGAGGCAGCAGUAGGGAAUCUUCCGCAAUGGACGAAAGUCUGACGGAGCAACGCCGCGUGAGCGAAGAAGGUCUUCGGAUCGUAAAGCUCUGUUGUUAGGGAAGAACAAGUAUCGUUCGAAUAGGGCGGUACCUUGACGGUACCUAACCAGAAAGCCACGGCUAACUACGUGCCAGCAGCCGCGGUAAUACGUAGGUGGCAAGCGUUAUCCGGAAUUAUUGGGCGUAAAGCGCGCGCAGGCGGUCCUUUAAGUCUGAUGUGAAAGCCCACGGCUCAACCGUGGAGGGUCAUUGGAAACUGGGGGACUUGAGUGCAGAAGAGGAGAGCGGAAUUCCACGUGUAGCGGUGAAAUGCGUAGAGAUGUGGAGGAACACCAGUGGCGAAGGCGGCUCUCUGGUCUGUAACUGACGCUGAGGCGCGAAAGCGUGGGGAGCGAACAGGAUUAGAUACCCUGGUAGUCCACGCCGUAAACGAUGAGUGCUAAGUGUUAGAGGGUUUCCGCCCUUUAGUGCUGAAGUCAACGCAUUAAGCACUCCGCCUGGGGAGUACGGUCGCAAGACUGAAACUCAAAGGAAUUGACGGGGGCCCGCACAAGCGGUGGAGCAUGUGGUUUAAUUCGAAGCAACGCGAAGAACCUUACCAGGUCUUGACAUCCUCUGACACUCCUAGAGAUAGGACGUUCCCUUCGGGGACAGAGUGACAGGUGGUGCAUGGUUGUCGUCAGCUCGUGUCGUG
Molecule: ribosomal RNA, 1036 nt
Filed under: Bacillus sp. 987B6_12ACASO
Lineage: Bacteria; Bacillati; Bacillota; Bacilli; Caryophanales; Bacillaceae
Description: bacterial SSU rRNA
Rfam family: Bacterial small subunit ribosomal RNA
Source: RNAcentral